RNAcentral lists this ribosomal RNA (421 nucleotides) under uncultured bacterium. RNAcentral describes it as "bacterial SSU rRNA". It matches the Rfam family "Bacterial small subunit ribosomal RNA", at positions 355 to 774 of the family's 1533-position model. The record is from RNAcentral.
UAAGGAAUAUUGGUCAAUGGACGCAAGUCUGAACCAGCCAUGCCGCGUGAAGGAUGAAGGUCCUCUGGAUUGUAAACUUCUUUUAUCUGGGACGAAAACGGGAUUUUUAUCUCAAUUGACGGUACCAGAGGAAUAAGCACCGGCUAACUCCGUGCCAGCAGCCGCGGUAAUACGGAGGGUGCGAGCGUUAUCCGGAUUUACUGGGCGUAAAGGGCGUCUAGGUGGGACGUCAAGCGGGGUGUGAAAGCUCCUGGCUUAACUGGGAGAGUGCGCUCUGAACUGACGACCUAGAGGGCAGGCGACGGAGGUGGAAUUCCCGGUGGAGUGGUGAAAUGCGUAGAGAUCGGGAGGAACACCAGUGGCGAAGGCGGCCUCCGAGCCUGAACCUGACGCUGAAGCGCGAGAGCGUGGGGAGCAAACG